Molecule: unclassified non-coding RNA, 171 nt
Filed under: uncultured Pezizaceae
Lineage: Eukaryota; Fungi; Ascomycota; Pezizomycetes; Pezizales; Pezizaceae
Description: sequence contains ITS1
Source: RNAcentral
UCGAAAGCUCUGGCUUUUGUUGUGCCUUGAACCCUUUGAUGUCUAAACCUUUGUUGCUUCCGUCGGCCGAUAACCCCGAACGGGGGCUUUGACCGACGGUGGGUAUUUGGGAACUCGGUUGUUUAGAUGUUGUUAGUCUGAAAAUAUUUGAGAUUAAAUGCUCAAAAAACA